Long non-coding RNA from Folsomia candida, 1587 nucleotides. RefSeq lists it as uncharacterized. NCBI's taxonomy places the organism in Eukaryota, Metazoa, Arthropoda, Collembola, Entomobryomorpha, Isotomidae. The transcript has 4 exons. The record is from RefSeq and is a predicted model, not a curated record.
UUUCAUAUAGCACUGAGGUUAAGAACAAGGAUAUUACGUAACACAUAUACACUACAUACAAGACAGGACUGGGGUUUAUGUAAGUUAACCGGAACUUUAGUUGGUUAUAUGUGAUCAUCUCGAUUUCAACAGCUGAGGAGUAAGGAAGCCAUUAUUUCUCAAGGGAAAUAUUUUGGUGCAACUGAUCGUAAUAAGUCUGGUGUUAAUUGUUUAUAAUACAAAUGUGACAUCAAAUGAGGCCUGAUUUGGCGAAACCGUUUUCCAAAUCUUUGUAAAUCUCUAUACGAAAAUUUGACGGCAAGAUUCUUAAGGAACAAAUGGACGAGGGGACAAGUGACAGGACUGCACAAAAUUCUCCAUCAAGCAACAUUCGCCAUAAUUAUUAAUGCAAUGCAAGCGCCGCCAUGUAACGUAUUUAUCCAUGGCUCCGUCGAUGGGGAUACGCGUAAACAUGUACUUGCAUGUAUCAGCUUAAAUAUGUAAGUAUUAUAGUGAAGAAAUGAAGACAAAAUUCGACACAUCUAAUUUAAAAAAUUUGGAACAUUGAUUCAAUCUAUUCAACAAAGAACUCCAUGACGAAAUAUGCUUUUUCCGAGAAUGUCAUUUUCGUCGUUUGUCGUUCAUCCAAUUCUUGUAAAUUUUCGCCUGUGGACUUACUUUCUCUGGACGUCAGGAAAUACGUACCGGUUUUUAAUUUAGUCUCUUUCUAAUGUAAUCUAUGACCAAACUGUAGGUUAUGUUUAGAAUAUGUUUAGAUUUUUAUUUCGAUAAGAUAUUUCCAUAUUUGGAAGACAAAAAAUACGCCUAUAAUUUAUUCGGAAAUAAGUAACGCUAUAUUAUAUCCAUUGAUCGCAAAAAUACUCGCCCUCCAUGGGCAUGAAAUUGGAAAACUUUUACAGUGGUAAAUAACUAUUAUCUCAAACGAGUUUUGUUUCAUAGCUUUGUACCAUGUCACCCAAGAUAUAUAAUCUGAUAAUCUCUUCACAUAAAUUUUCAAGUUUGUAGGAAACUAUGUUAUGUUAGCAAAUGUCCAGUUAGACUUACAAGCUUUCUACACUCAGCUAGAAAUUAUAGUAUUUGCUUUCAUAUUUUGUCAGAAAAAAUGACAAGAUAUGAGCAGCAGACCUUUCACUUGCAUUUCUGUUCCACUGUUUAUGAGACACCUUUUUGUAUAGAUCCUAGGCUUAGGAAUUUUCUCUACCCCAAAUUCCCCCGUUUACCUCUUUGAAACCGUAUUUGUAUACCUCCUUGAAACAAAAUAAGAAACACUUGGGUUAGUGCAGGAUUUAACCUGUCCGCUUAGGGGUAUGUAUUUUGGGACUAUGAAUUUUUUCGGCUGGUAACACUGGGGAGUACUUUUCGAUGUAAGAAAAGACAAACCUAAAAAAAAAUUGAGCUAGAGAAAUGCAUAUUAUUAUGAUACACUCGGACUACGUAGUUUUUUGUGACGCAUGUCACACGGUGUGACACACUAGAAUUGCUGGAAAAUCAUUCAUUAGUGUAGGUGUUUUUUGGCGAUUUACAGUUAAUUGACCUCAAAGCACACGAGUUCAUGGUACAUUAAUAAAGCAUAAAUUACUAGAAAUA